UAAAUGGUACUUUAUGUUUCUUAGACAUUAGAUACGUCUAAGAAACAUAUAUUAGGCUAAACAUGUGCUGCCUGGGUUAUUUCGAAUGCACCUUUUGUGAUAUUUGUUGUUAACGUUACGAUUAAAUUUGAGAGUCUAUAAUGUAAUAAUGUAAAAUUUGUAAAAUAGAAAAUCGAAUUACGUGAACGGAAAAAAGAACCUCUGUAUAAAAUUCAUCUGAUCUGAAAGCGUCCAAUUACAUACGAAGCUCAUUCAAGAACAAGGUAGUCAAGAUGGCGCAGCCAAUCAGAGCCCCAUUUCUCCGCUUCCAUUUUGCCUGCUCGGACAGCCAUCUUGCCGCUUAUCGAUGCUCCAUCUAAUCACUCGUUGGUCUAUGAUGAGCAUCGCCUUGCGCAAUUCGAGAUCUAUUCGAGAUCAGUCGGAGUCGAUAGUGCGACGCGGGGGGUUGUCGCGCUCUCGUGCGUGUAUACGUGUUCCUUCAAGUGUGUGGGUGUGUGUGUACGUGUGUGGUAGUGCGAGCGAGUAGUGCACCGCCGCCGUUGAUCGCGCGUUCCUGGUGCAAGCGCAGCAAGCUUCGCUUUACUUGCCGUUGGUCGCAGGCACCGAUGCGCGGUGCGGAACGUUAAAUGUGCGUGCAGGAUGUCGAAUCCGAGCGGUAGCAGGAGGAACGGGGCCAUGAAGAUUCGUCUAACAAUUUUAUGUGCCCGCAAUCUUGCUAGGAAGGAUUUAUUUCGCUUACCAGAUCCUUUCGCUAAGAUAACUGUUGAUGGUUCUGGACAGUGUCAUAGUACAGACACUUGUAAAGCUACCCUUGAUCCCAAGUGGAAUCAGCACUAUGAUCUAUAUAUUGGAAAGAACGAUGGAAUCACUAUAUCUGUGUGGAAUUAUCGGAAGAUUCAUAAAAAGCAAGGCGGUGGCUUUCUGGGAUGUGUACGCAUAUUAUCGAACACCAUCCAAAGACUUAAAGAUACAGGAUAUCAACGGUUGGAUCUGUGCAAAGCUCACUCCGAUGACACAGAUGUCGUUAAGGGACAGAUUGUAGUAUCCCUGAUGUCACGGGACGGCCACAAUGGUGCCGUGAGUAACACAGUCGGGCAUAACGCCGUGGUCGACGUGCUUGGAGAUUUAAGUUGCCCGAAUGACUUGCCGGACGGUUGGGAAGAACGUAGAACGCAUAGCGGUCGACUUUACUACGUAAAUCAUCACACGAAGAGCACGCAGUGGAUCCGUCCAAAUGCUCGGCCUAGCAAUGCGAUUAUAUCGACAACACCGGAACCACCGGCGUUGCCGUCGUCGGAACCGACGUCACCCAGUAGUAGCGCGAGCUCGCCGAACGUGAGGAACGAAGAGAGUCCGGCGAGGCACGCGUCACCCGAGUGGAAUGACGGGACGCCCAGUCAAACUCCCAGUCGAGAUAGUUCCGCGCAAAACACUCCGCGUAAUACACCGACGCAGCAGCAGCAGCAGCAAAAUCGCAAUAAUCAGCAACAGAACCAGCACAACGUGAGAAACGUGACGACGCCGGCAUCGUCCGCGAGAGAGCGUCGCAUCGUUCGAACUACCGAUGAACAGAAUGGUAAUCAAAGCAUGAACGGAAGGGCGGAGCGUGGUGUUAACGGCGGGGGCCAGGCGCGACGGCUUAAUCGCAGCAACAGAAAUAGAAAUAGCGUUAUGUCGAGCGGUGACCGGCGAACCGAUCCUCCGCAACCACCGGAUCUACCGCGCGGCUACGAAAUGAGGAAAACGCAGCAGGGCCAGGUGUACUUUUAUCACGUACCAACUGGAUCCUCUACCUGGCACGAUCCGAGGAUACCGCGUGAUUUGCAAGCCAACGAGUUGGCGAAUGAGCUCGGUCCCCUUCCCAGCGGAUGGGAAAUGAGACAGACGCACAGCGGACGGGUGUACUUCGUGGAUCACAACAACAGGACAACGCAAUUUACCGAUCCUCGGCUGUCCAGCCAAAUUAUCAGCAAUCUGUUGAAUAGGAGACAAAAUAAUAAUACGAGCAAUCACGCUCCGACUAAUGUAAACAAUUCUGUGACGAGCGAAACUGCCGAGACGGAUACCACGAGUUCGCCGAUGGUUCCGUCCAACACACCACAGCAGCCAACGAGAAAUGAAAAUGGAAGCAACAACAAUUCUCCGACGAUGGAAAGCGCGCUAACCCAAAAUGCUCAAACCGUGUCAGAAUUACCGAAGGAGCUUAUGGACAAUGAGCUUCUCCCAAAGUAUAAACGUGAUUUAGUAGCAAAAUUGAAGUGUCUUCGAGCAGAACUGAAUGCCCUUCAGCCUCAAAGCGGUCACUGUAGAUUGGAGGUGUCGAGGAACGAGAUAUUCGAGGAGUCAUACAGACUGAUAAUGAAAAUGCGUCCGAAAGAUAUGCGCAAGAGACUCAUGGUCAAAUUCCGCGGCGAGGAGGGGCUCGACUAUGGCGGCGUAGCGCGCGAAUGGCUGUAUCUGUUGUCCCAUGAGAUGCUGAAUCCGCAAUAUGGGCUCUUUCAGUAUUCGAGGGACGAUAAUUAUACACUUCAAAUUAAUCCGGAUUCGGGGAUAAAUCCCGAACACUUGUCGUACUUUCAUUUCGCCGGGAGGAUCAUCGGCAUCGCCGUUUUCCACGGCCAUCACAUCGACGGUGGUUUCACGACACCGUUCUACAAAAUGUUGCUUAACAAAGCUAUAACAUUGAGCGAUAUAGAGGGGGUCGAUCCAGAAUUACAUAGGAGUCUUACAUGGAUGCUAGAAAACAGUAUAGACGGCGUACUGGACGCUACGUUCUCCGUGGAGCACAGCAGUUUCGGCGUGUUGAAGAAUCACGAGUUGAAGCCGGGCGGUAAAGAUAUACCAGUGACGGAAGAAAACAAGAGAGAAUACGUCCGUCUAUACGUGAACUAUCGAUUCAUGCGCGGUAUCGAGCAGCAGUUCUUGGCGUUGCAGAAAGGAUUUCACGAGUUGAUUCCUCCCCUGUUACUGAGACCCUUCGAUGAGCGCGAACUCGAGUUAGUCAUUGGGGGUUUGGGCACGAUCGACAUAAACGAUUGGAAGAUGCACACACGGCUGAAGCAUUGCACGCCCGAUACACCGGUCGUGCAAUGGUUCUGGCAGAUAGUCGAAUCGUACGGUGAAGAAAUGAGGGCGAGAUUGCUUCAGUUCGUCACCGGCAGCUCCAGAGUGCCGUUGCAAGGAUUCAAAGCUUUGCAAGGAUCAACGGGAGCAGCGGGUCCGCGGCUUUUCACAAUCCACGCAGUUGACGCCCCGAGUGAAAAUCUACCAAAAGCGCAUACUUGUUUCAAUAGGAUAGACAUACCACAGAAUUAUCCGACCUAUCAGAAGAUGCUCGAUAAGCUUACGCAGGCGGUUGAGGAAACCUGUGGCUUUGCUGUUGAAUAAUAACGGUAAGCUCUUGCAGCUUCGGCAUUGAUCGUUAAUGUAUUAGUACGUGUCUCCGAAUAAUUAUAAAUCCCCGCGAUAAAUAUUCGACAGAGUUCACUAGAAAGAGAGAGAGAAUCGUUUAUUCUUCAUAUUUGAAACACCAAGAAGUUGUAAUCGAGAAGUUAUAAUUAAGAAGAAAUUAUGAAGAAGAAAAUCCGGUGAGGUAGUUGCUUAUAGAAAGGAAAUAUUGAUACCUAAGCUGAAUGAUGAAAUCACGAAUGAUUUCGGUACAAAUGUCUACAUGGCCUUGCAGUUAUAGAUUGGCGAUUGAUAAGAUUUGCAUAUCCGACGACGUAUGUUCUCUUCUCGACGCGAGCUAGAACGAGAAUUUUUAGAAAAUUGAUACGUCAGUCUUCAAGUUUCUAUUACUUGGUUGAAUGAUACCAGUAGCGAGAAUCAUUUCUCAUGGAUUUUUUAUUGACAAGUAUCAACGUGUCAAGAAUCUCGAGAUUACGAAUGUAGCAAUAGAUGACAUAGGAAAUAUUCACACAGCUAGUAAUGCGAUUCAAGUUGCGAUUCUGGAAGUUCUUAUAUAAGUAGUUGAAGCUUAUAAGUGAGCAACUUAGAAUCAAGGAGGAAGAAAGUAAGGCUUUUUGCGUUUAACGCGUCGGUAUUUAUUAUACGAUUGGCAUUAGCUUUUUCUCUUUCUUCUUCUCUUUGAAAGCCUUUAACUUCUCACUUUCGACUAUAACAAACCACACACGGAGUCAAUUAAUUCCAUAUCAGUUAUUUAUAAAGCAAUAGGACUUAGCGUCGGAGUCUUAGUAGCGAGAAAAGUACAUAUACGUAUGUAAUUCGCGUUCCAAUAGGGACAGACAUCAGCUAGACGCGCAAUACUGAGAAUCUAGUAUUUUGAAAUGUAUUAUUGGGCCUUGGUGUCUUAGGUAAUAAAUAGAGAGUUUGUACAUAUACAUAUAAUUCUGAACGCAAGUGUUAUAAGUGAUAUAGAUAUCAUUUCGAUAAAAAUUGUGAUAUAAUUUGUACAGAGUAUAAAAAUGAUGAUACUGAUGUGUUCUCUCUGGCAUUAUAUUAUUAAAUCUUUCAUUCGGUGCAAUAGAUAGAUGUAACGACACAUGAAAGAUACAAUCUUUCAGCUCUUGACGGCAUUAUUAAUAUUAUUUAGAGACAUGACAAACUUCGGAAAUCAAUCGCGUUUCUAUUUUUCUGAUAUUGUAACACUUUCGUUCAGAGCUUUCGUAAGCAGCUGGCGAACUUGGUUAUUGCUACGCACGCAACUCACGUGGCAAAAAGAUCAUUGUUGCUUGUUAGAAGUCAUUACCGAGUAUACAUUACUACACCGAGUGCGUUAAAAUAAUGAUGUAAAUAAUUUAUUAUAGAUUAACAUAAUAGUAAUGUAAUAGUAUUUUACACGCGGAUCGGAUGCGAUCCGGUCUGAUUUUAGCAUUGGCAAUUAAAGUCGUCUACAUUUAAGCUUUAAUUUAAAGCGUACAUUUCUUAAGGAAAGAGUUCAUUCGACGGGUUUACGUAAGCUUAAAACAUUUCGAUCGAACUGGCCUUUCUUUGUUUGAUUGAGAACUUCAUGAGACAUGUCUACACCUUGCUAGAUUACUUUUAGUGAGAUGUAGCGCUACGCCUUAUUUAUCGCACGAAAUCUUCGUUUAGUUCACCAGCACGUGAUGCUGUCGCAAAAAUGUUCGACGCGUAAUUACCGCAUAGUUAUGCGAAUGUCGUGUACAAUGCAUGACGGCACAGUUCAUUGUCUUGUAUGUAUAACUAUCAUCGUAUUAUUAUGUUUGAAUUAUUAUAUGCGCACGCAACUGUGAUGAAACAUAUCGUAGGCGAGAAGGAGCACCCGAAAAGUUCUCGCUUCUCGAGAAUUAAUGCGUAAUUCUACGUUCACUUUUGUACGCACGAUGUUAUCGAGAUCGAUAUAUACACACAUGUCCAUUUCGUUGACUCUCCUUCGGAAUAAAAUGUUCCCGUACUUCGGUCGAGCCGCGUGAAAGUAUCACCCGUUUUCAGUGUCUGAAACACGGCCUGAAUACUGAAGUGCUGUCGUACCGGGAAACAUAGCUAUUACGACUCAAAUAGGAAUAAUGGAUACAGCUCUUAGCGCUAGCUAACGUGUAUCGUGUAAAUAGACACCUCUAGCGGUACCUAUAUCUGUUGCCUUAAUUUCAAAUGUACACGAACUCUCGUAUCUCGUAGUCUGCUUCUCGGUAUCGGAUGCAGCCAGUAACGCCUCAAUAUUCCUGAAUAUGAUAUGUUAAAAAGUGAAUUCACUAAUUUUCUAUGAGAUAUAUAUUAUAUACAUUCGCCAAAUACGAAGUAAUUAAGGAGAAGUGCUAUUUUCAGUAUGUAUAAAUUGUUUAUCGACGACAAGUCUAAGAUCUAAGACGAGAUUAUCGGAUGUUUGAGGAAGUUAACAAAGCUGCGAGAGGGAUUUAGUGAGAUUUAUAUACGAAUCAAUGAAUACAUGUAUCGAAAAUAAUGGAUUUUCAUUUCAAAGAUAUUUGAAAUAUUCUUUUCACAUCGAAGAAGUUUAAUCAUUGUUUUAAACAAAGACGGUUGAGCAAAAGAUUAAUAGCUUUUAAUCAUAUUAGUAGAGAAGAGAGCCUCAUGAUCUUUCCAUUUGUUUUUUUAUAAUAAUCUUGUCGGUAUAGCGCAAUAAAGGCCUUAAACGUGCCUUGUUGUUGGCGUUGAUGAUAAACCAUAAAAAUUAUAUUCACCAUAUUUUGAGACGAGAUGUAAAUUUCAUCUUUCUGUCAAAACUAUUUCUAAAAAGACAUACAUAUGCAUGUUGCAAUUAUCAAUUUAUAAUACACGGUGACUACAUUAAUGAUUAAAAGAAUAGCAAAAUAAAAUAAUAGGAUUACAAUUCAAGUGAAAAGUAGCCAAAGAAGUAUCUUGAAGAAUUAAAUUUCUUUUACGGUAAAAGAAAUCCUUUAACUUAUAUGUAAUUAUGUGUUCUCAAACAAUUAGAAUGUUAUGUACAAUUUGCAACUAUCCAAUAUGUCAAUACCUUUUUUUUAAUGUGAAUGAUGUGUUAUAUACAUUGAUUGUGUUAACAUCGAAAGUUAUAUGCAUACAUUUAUCAGAACGUUGUAUAUACGUACUUUAUGAGAAUUAUAUUAAUUUUAACACAAGUGAUGUACAAAAAGUCAUAUCUAAACAAAAUAAUUAUAAAAUAAAUGUUAUAAUUAUUUCGAAAAAGUUUUGAAGUGAUGUUUGGAUUAUAAAGAUAAUAUUCAAAAAUGUAUAAAGAAGAUUAUAUAUAUCUGAUUAUCUGAAUUUUUGAUAUUAAUUAAUGAUUAAAGAACAACGUUAAUCAAUUAAUGAUUAAAGAACAAAGCGAGUGACAAACUAGUUGGUCUGUUAUUCAUGAAAUGUAUACCGAGAGAAAAAAAGGAUUAUGAAUACUGAGAGAAAGAAAGGAGAGAGACAAUAUUUAGCGAGAAACAAAACUCACGUAAAAUACGUACAAAUGAAUAUAUUGCGUAUUACACGAUGCACAGAAUAAUCUUGCUUGGAAGAGUUAUCAAGUAUCGCAAGGAAGUUUGUGGACCGAAAGGGAUGCGCGAACUUCAACACAUUUGCAAUUAGAAUCUGCAGUUUGUCUUGUUCGAAAUAUCAGGUGAUUGCAGUCGCCUUUUAACCCUUUAUCGGUCCAUUCAGCUAUUUCUGAAGGGUUUUUAGACUUUUCAGAAUCGGCGAGAGGAAGACCCGUGCGCGCAGUACAGAUGCCUCUAUUUAUAAAAUUGAUGUAGUUUUAUCGAGUUGUAAAUACAUUUGUCGAAAUCUUGCAAGUAAUGUAACAACGAGAGAUAUCGGUAAAGGGUUAAAUAUUAUGAGAAAUAAAGAAAUAAUAAAUAACAUCGCAGUAAGUUAUAGAUACCGCCUUUUUCUCCAGUGUCGGUCAGUCGACGUUAUAUAAAAUAAUUUUCUUAGGCGUUAAAGAAACGUUUACUAGAAUUUUUUACUAGUUUCAUCUUAAGAACAAGUAAUAAUGUUUAAAUGGAAGUUGCGAAAAUAUUUAUUCUACCAGUGGCAGAGACCCGUUCAUGAAUUUAGGCUUUAGCUUGUUUCGUUAAAAAUUCGCAGAUCGAAAAUUGUAAAUUGAUAUGUGGAUAACUAAUGUAAAUUGUUUUUUGUAUAAUUGAAUCGCAAGCGAUCGCUUUCCCUUCGUGUUUCUAGUUGCGAGAUUAUGUGUACUAUUAUUACUGCGGAUGUGUUAUUAUUAUUAUUAUUAUUGCUAACAUUGCGUCUCUGUUACUGUCCUAAUUAAUUACACAAGUCCUUCAAGAAACAAGUGUAUAUACAACUUUUCCUUUUGUAUUUUGGACGAAAUGUAUAUUUUAAUAAAAUAUCCAAAGUAUGGAAUACA
RNAcentral lists this unclassified non-coding RNA (7774 nucleotides) under Ooceraea biroi (clonal raider ant). RNAcentral's name for it is "e3 ubiquitin-protein ligase SMURF2, transcript variant X1". The record is from RNAcentral. Lineage: Eukaryota; Metazoa; Arthropoda; Insecta; Hymenoptera; Formicidae.